CCGGGCGCGGAGAGGAGAGUGGGGUACAGGCACCGGGAGCUAGGGAGCCCCUGUGCGGUGCGCGGGGCUGCUCUCCCUGACCCCUCGCUGUCUCACGCUUUCUCUUGCAGAUGCGGCUGGAGAUGCUGCGGUGGGCUCGCUGCUGCUGCUGGCUGGGUGUUUGCCUCUCGCUGCUGGGGGAAGGGGGAGGAGGCAGCGGCGCUGCCGGCUGCCGGGGCACCCUGUGUGGCGACGGCGGCGGUGAUCGAGAUCCGCCCAGACAGCAGUGCCUGGGGCCCCGCUGCUCGGGCAGAGCCAGCCGCCCGUCCCGCUCCUUCCCUCACACCGUCACGCCCGCCCGCGGCAAGCAGGCGCCGAGCGCCCCGCACGCUGCCCCUCUCCCCGCCUUCCCCUCCAGGAGCACGGCCGAGCUCAGCCCGGAGCUCCCUGCCCCGGCCGCUAGGGGCGCCGGGGAGACCUGCCUGGGAGGGGACUGCGCCGCCCGGGCCCCCAACGGCACCAGCCGGGACUGCAAAGGCGUUGAAUGCAAAUUGCCCCUGCGGCUCCGCCACAGGUCCCGGCCGGGCAGCAGGGCUCAGUGCGCCCAGCAGGGAGAGCCCUGCCCGGAGCCCGCCCUGCUCCGAGAGGCAGAGCGAGCCGCCCAGUUCCUCGCGGAAGACUUCGCCUACCCGGCCUCGGAGCUGGGCGUGCAGCUCACCUGCGACCUCAAACCAGGAGAAAAUGAAGUUCCAUCUGAAGAUGCACUAAUAUUACAACUGCAGCUUGCAAAAGGCCAAGAGAAAUUUGUUGAAAUGUUAAAAAGCCAACAGAAGAUAAUUGUGGAUUUGCAACAAAAACUUGCUGAACAACAGAGCACGUUAGUUAGCCAGCAACGAGAAAUUCUUGAACAACAAAGAAAAAUGUAUGAGCAAAUGGAUCUGAUAAAAGUCCAGUAUGGCAUGCUUUUCGACACAGUGAAACAAAUGUCAUUCCAGAGUUUGCAUGAGGAUAUUCAACAUUAUUUUGAAGCUCAGCUUCAAGGACUUCAGAACCAGGUCAGAAAUCAUCUCCAGAAGUCAUACUCUGUACAUAAAGUAGAAGUUGAUGCAAAAGUGAUUGAUGUUGGGGAGUCUUUGCUGGACUGCGGCCUUUGUAAAACUGAUGAAUUUUGCAAUUUUCAAAAGACACCAUCACAGUGUGAAAAAUGCACCUUGUGCCCUGCUGGCUUUUUCCAAAUGUCUGAAUGUUCUGCAAACGCCGAUCGGAUUUGCCAGGACAGAGACGAAUGCAUUGAAUCUCCCAACAUUUGUGGUGAGAGAAUAAAAUGCCUGAAUACUCCAGGCCUUCCAUCAAACUUCAAAUUUUGACUAUGCUGUAUUUGGAUGGGAUUACAAUAUUUAUGGAAUUGCUUGUGUGUCCUAAUAUGGAUGUACUCAGUGAAAUUUUUUACAGCACAGAUCAUGUACAUGCUGUAAUUGCUUACUUUGUAUGUGUUUUAUGUAUUGGUUAGAAAUGGCACUAGGCAGGUACCAGUGAGAAUUAUAAAUAUUAAGGCUAAGGAAAAGCUUUCAGAGUAGAAGUGCUUCACUACACUAUGCUCCUGAUUCUGCACUCCUAGCAAUCCCAAAACUUUCAAGUCAAAGGCAGUUUUGGAUGCACUAUGGCCGGAAUGCAAAGUCUGGCUCCUAAGUGGUUAAACUAAACAUCACAAAUACUGCUUCUCUUUCACUAUUUGUUAUCUCAGAGGAUGCAGGCAGAUUAGGACAGAUCACUGUCUCUCCAAAUACUUCUUUAACAAUAAUUUACAGCAAAUUUCACUUUCAAGUGGGUUGUAGCCAAUUGUUUCCUUGCCCUCCUCACUAAAAAUACCCUACAUCUAUAUUUCAGUCCAGAUUUUGCCUUUGGUUACACGAACGUAAGCCUGGAGUAACUAGGAAUCACUUUUGAUUUACACCAGUGUAACUAAGAGCAGACUAUGGGCCUCCAUAUUUUUAUAUGUGCUCUGAAGCCAGUACCAUGUACUGUAUGACAUGAUCACCAACAGUGCCCUGUAAUCCUACACCAAAUAUUAUUCAAAAGGAAUUGGGCAUAGUGAAAAUGAACGUUAAUGUUAUGGUACCCAAAAUGUAACCAAAUUGCAUAUUUUCCCUAUAAUUGGUUU
Molecule: long non-coding RNA, 2140 nt
Organism: Chrysemys picta bellii (western painted turtle)
Lineage: Eukaryota; Metazoa; Chordata; Testudines; Emydidae
Source: Ensembl